This 460-nucleotide ribosomal RNA is filed under the name uncultured bacterium. Its description in RNAcentral is "partial 16S ribosomal RNA". It matches the Rfam family "Bacterial small subunit ribosomal RNA", at positions 338 to 795 of the family's 1533-position model. The record is from RNAcentral.
CCUACGGGUGGCAGCAGUGAGGAAUAUUGGUCAAUGGACGGAAGUCUGAACCAGCCAUGCCGCGUGCAGGAAGACGGCUCUAUGAGUUGUAAACUGCUUUUGUACAAGGGUAAACCUGAAUACGUGUAUUCAGCUGAAAGUACUGUACGAAUAAGGAUCGGCUAACUCCGUGCCAGCAGCCGCGGUAAUACGGAGGAUCCAAGCGUUAUCCGGAUUUAUUGGGUUUAAAGGGUGCGUAGGCGGAUUGAUAAGUUAGAGGUGAAAUGUCCGAGCUUAACUCGGGAACUGCCUUUAAUACUGUUGGUCUAGAGAGUAGAUGCGGUAGGCAGAAUGUAUGGUGUAGCGGUGAAAUGCUUAGAGAUCAUACAGAACACCGAUUGCGAAGGCAGCUUACCAAUCUAUAUCUGACGUUGAGGCACGAAAGCGUGGGGAGCAAACAGGAUUAGAUACCCGAGUAGUC